This 316-nucleotide unclassified non-coding RNA is filed under the name plant metagenome. Its description in RNAcentral is "partial contains 5.8S ribosomal RNA, internal transcribed spacer 2, and large subunit ribosomal RNA". The stretch from base 1 to 105 matches the Rfam family "5.8S ribosomal RNA", at positions 50 to 154 of the family's 154-position model. The record is from RNAcentral.
GAACUGCGAUAAGUAAUGUGAAUUGCAGAAUUCAGUGAAUCAUCGAGUCUUUGAACGCACAUUGCGCCCCCUGGCAUUCCGGGGGGCACGCCUGUCCGAGCGUCAUUGCUGCCCUUCAAGCCCGGCUUGUGUGUUGGGUCGUCGUCCCCCCCGGGGGACGGACCCGAAAGGCAGCGGCGGCACCGUGUCCGGUCCUCGAGCGUAUGGGGCUUUGUCACCCGCUCGAUUAGGACCGACCGGGCGCCCGCCGGCGUCAAACCCCCAAUCUUUCUAAGGUUGACCUCGGAUCAGGUAGGGAUACCCGCUGAACUUAAGC